GGUGACUCAGUGGUAGAGUGCUUGCCCCACAUGCAGGAGACCCUGGGUUCGAUUUCUCAGCACCA
Molecule: non-coding RNA, 65 nt
Organism: Dipodomys ordii (Ord's kangaroo rat)
Lineage: Eukaryota; Metazoa; Chordata; Mammalia; Rodentia; Heteromyidae
Source: Rfam